This 798-nucleotide long non-coding RNA is filed under the name Aotus nancymaae (Ma's night monkey). RNAcentral's name for it is "lncRNA (ENSANAG00000038739.1)". Lineage: Eukaryota; Metazoa; Chordata; Mammalia; Primates; Aotidae. The record is from RNAcentral.
GGUCUGGAACCUCAGUAUGUGUGGCUGCAGCGCAGGCAGGUAGGGUGUCCCCGGUCUGGAACCUCAGUAUGUGUGGCUGCAGCGCAGGCAGGUAGGGUGUCCCCGGUCUGGAAGCUGGCCGCUUCAGGCGCGUUCCCUCCCUCCUUCCCAUACUCCGCAGGUCUGGAUGUAUUGUCGCCUGUACCGCACUUUCGAGCGCUUCCACCGCGCGCAGCUUCUGGACGCAGCGAAAGCAGGUGGUGAGUUCUUGCUGCGUUACGCCCGAGUGGCACCUCCUAGCAAGAAGUGUGCCUUUGUGCUGACUCGGGACGGCCGCCCGGUCAAGGUGCAGCGGACCAUCUUCAGCGAGUGUUUCUACACCAUGGCCAUGGACGAGCUGUGGAGGACCACAGGGGAAGCACGGUACCAGACGGAAGCGGUGGAGAUGAUGGAUCAGAUUGUCCACUGGGUACGGGAGGACGCGUCAGAACUGGGCCGGCCCCAGCUCCAGGGGGCCCCAGCCGUGGAGCCCAUGGCAGUGCCCAUGAUGCUGCUGAACCUGGUGGAGCAGCUCGGGGAGGCGGACGAGGGGCUGGCGGGCAAAUAUGCGGAGCUGGGGGACUGGUGCGCCCGGAGGAUUCUGCAACACGUGCAGGUGGGGGACCACUGGGGAGCUGGGGUGGCGGGAGGCCCUCCACUCCUCCACUCCCCCACUCCCCCUCUCCCCGGGGUGCCCUGGGGCUUUACACACUGGGAGAGACAGAGAUUAGGGGAGGUCCCCGCCUGGGGAAGGUGGAGGGCCCGAGGGUGGGAGGGAGG